AUGAAACACGAACGAAUAGAACCACCGCGGUCGAAGACGACGACCAGAAACGGCGGAAACACGAACGGAAACCACCGCGGUCGAAGAGGACGACCGGAAACGGCGGUCGAAGAGGAAGACCGGAAACGGCGGCCGAAACGGGGUUUUACCAUCAGUUGUGGUGGUCCGUCAGUUGCGGCGAGGAGGUUAAGGGCGACGGAGGUGUCGUGCAGUGAACUCGCGGUGGUCCUCGCGGUGAUGGUGAUGAAGACGGUUGGCAAUCGGAAUCGAGCGGGCUUGCAGAUUUCCUCUUCUCUUGUUUUUCAGAACAGGGCGCAGCGCGAUGGAGUGGUGGAAGAAUGA
Vicia faba (fava bean) is the source of this 342-nucleotide non-coding RNA. NCBI's taxonomy places the organism in Eukaryota, Viridiplantae, Streptophyta, Magnoliopsida, Fabales, Fabaceae. The record is from the annotation of a GenBank genome assembly.